UGAGGAAUAUUGGUCAAUGGGCGCAAGCCUGAACCAGCCAUGCCGCGUGCAGGAUGAAGCAUCUAUGGUGUGUAAACUGCUUUUGUACGGGAAGAAACCACCCCUCGUGAGGGGUAUUGACGGUACCGUAAGAAUAAGGAUCGGCUAACUCCGUGCCAGCAGCCGCGGUAAUACGGAGGAUCCAAGCGUUAUCCGGAAUCAUUGGGUUUAAAGGGUCCGUAGGCGGGUCUGUAAGUCAGUGGUGAAAUCUCCCCGCUCAACGGGGAAACUGCCAUUGAUACUGCAGGUCUUGAAUUAUUGGGAAGUAACUAGAAUAUGUAGUGUAGCGGUGAAAUGCUUAGAGAUUACAUGGAAUACCGAUUGCGAAGGCAGGUUACUACCAAUGGAUUGACGCUGAUGGACGAAAGCGUGGGUAGCGAACA
RNAcentral lists this ribosomal RNA (422 nucleotides) under uncultured bacterium. RNAcentral's name for it is "bacterial SSU rRNA". It matches the Rfam family "Bacterial small subunit ribosomal RNA", at positions 355 to 774 of the family's 1533-position model. The record is from RNAcentral.